AGGUAGCAUAAUUAUUAGUUUUUUAAUUGAAAGCUUGUAUGAAGGGUUGGACGAGAUAAAAUCUGUCUUUAUUUAAAUUACAAUAGAAUUUAACUUUUAAGUCAAAAGGCUUAAAUGUAUAUAAAAGACGAGAAGACCCUAUAGAUCUUUAUUUAAUUAAUAUUUUGAUAAUUUAAGAUUAUUUUAGUUUAAAGUUUUAAUUAAAUUUUAUUGGGGUAAUAUAGAGAUUAAAUAAAUUCUUUUUAUUUAUUACAUUGAUUUAUGAAUAUAUGAUCCAAUAUUAUUGAUUAUAAGAUUAAGUUACCUUAGGGAUAACAGCGUAAUUUUUUUGGAGAGCUCAUAUCGAUAAAAAAGUUUGCGACCUCGAUGUUGGAUUAAAAAUUAGCUUGGGUGCAGAAGCUCAAGAUUUUGGUCUGUUCGACCAUUAAAUUUUUACAUGAUCUGAGUUCAGACCGGCGUAAGCCAGGUCGGUUUCUAUCUUUAUUUAUCUAAAAUAUUUUAGUACGAAAGGACCAAAUAUUUAAUAUAAUUAUAUUUCUUUUUUGAAUAAUAUU
Molecule: ribosomal RNA, 554 nt
Filed under: Cicindela lusitanica
Lineage: Eukaryota; Metazoa; Arthropoda; Insecta; Coleoptera; Carabidae
Description: partial 16S ribosomal RNA
Rfam family: Bacterial large subunit ribosomal RNA (bases 123-482)
Source: RNAcentral